RNAcentral lists this ribosomal RNA (629 nucleotides) under uncultured Chloroflexales bacterium. RNAcentral's name for it is "bacterial SSU rRNA". It matches the Rfam family "Bacterial small subunit ribosomal RNA", at positions 214 to 858 of the family's 1533-position model. The record is from RNAcentral. Lineage: Bacteria; Bacillati; Chloroflexota; Chloroflexia; Chloroflexales.
GCCGCUCCGGGAUGGGCCCGCGGCCCAUCAGGUAGUUGGUGGGGUAAUGGCCCACCAAGCCGAUGACGGGUAGGGGGCGUGAGAGCGUGGCCCCCCGCACGGGGACUGAGACACGGCCCCGACGCCUACGGGCGGCAGCAGUGAGGAAUCUUCCGCAAUGGGCGAAAGCCUGACGGAGCGACGCCGCGUGGGGGAAGAAGGCCGAAAGGUCGUAAACCCCUUUUCCCGGGGACGAGGAAGGACGGUACCCGGGGAAUAAGUCCCGGCUAACUACGUGCCAGCAGCCGCGGUAAUACGUAGGGGGCUAGCGUUACCCGGAUUCACUGGGCGUAAAGGGCGCGUAGGCGGUCCCGUAAGUCGGGCGUGAAAGCUCCGGGCUCAACCCGGAGAGGUCGUCCGAUACUGCGGGACUUGAGGACGGGAGAGGGGGGUGGAAUUCCCGGUGUAGCGGUGAAAUGCGCAGAUAUCGGGAGGAACACCAGUGGGGAAGCCGGCCCCCUGGCCCGGUCCUGACGCUGAGGCGCGAAAGCGUGGGGAGCGAAGGGGAUUAGAUACCCCCGUAGUCCACGCCCUAAACGAUGGGUGCUAGGUGUGGGGGGUUUAAAAACCCUCCGUGCCGAAGCUAACGC